GCUCUCAGCGCCGCUCAGCGCGGCGGGCCCGCCCGGGCUCAGGUGCCCCCCGCUCUCCGGACCUUCUCGCCCGGCCCCGCGUCCCCUCCGCGGGCUUCCCCCGGCGGCCGGCCGGGCUCGGAGGCUCGCGGCCGGAGCGGAGCGGAGUGCGCACGCCGGGGUGGCAGGACUUCGGCAAGACCAACUUUCCGGUUCGGAAGCGGCGCGGGCCGCGCGGCUCCUCCCCUCCUCUCCCUCCCCUGCGUUCCCCCUCCCUUCCACUCCCCCCUCUCCCCGCCCCCCAACCCGCGGGCCCCACCGACUCCGGAGCGCCCGCCCCGCCCGCUGCUGCCACCGGGCCGCCUCGCCCCCGCGCCAGCCCGCCUGGGCCUCUGCGCCGCCGGCGGCUUCUUAAAUACAGGAAAGGGAGGGGACCGCAGGGCCCCGGUGUUCCCCACCCUAGUCCCCCUUCACCACGGGCCACCGGGCGCCAGCGGAGUGGGCAGCGAGCGCGACCGAAAGUUCCAACUCCACCAAACUCCCGCGCGCGGCCCACCCUUUCCCGGGAUUUCGGGGAUGACACGGGGGCCAGUGGUCCUGUCUGGUGUGAACCGUCAGCACAGAUGGCCUCCUGGAGCUUCCCCGAGUCGUUCGCUGGGGGAAGCGGGCGGUGAGCGGCCAGCCCGGGCGCUCCGCAGGCCGCGAGCUCCCGGCAGGGCUGGUGGCGGGGGUCCGCCUGGGGGAGGAAUCCCCGCCUGCUCCAUCGGACCCGGCCUGGCGCGGCUCGCGGCGCUCGGCGGGCUCCCUUCCAUUCUAGAAUCUUCCCGCUUGCUUCCCAGCCCGCGUUCUUCCGCCUGCCUUUAAUUGUGUGUGGACGUGGGGAGGAUCUUCUAAGUCCCUCCAACGAAGGCAAGUGUGAGACUCUGGCCCUUUAUUUGUAAGAAGCAAGCCUUCAGAUUGCAGAAGUGUCGCGCGGGUCGCCGUGCGUUGCGCGAGUGGGAAGAUGGAGGAGGCCGGCACGCUGCUUUCGUGGACGCAAGUGAACCGGGCGUGAAGGCAGGGUGCGAGCUCUGCCCUUGGCCCAGCCCUGCGUGGGCGCCGUCCCAGAUUCCGGGCGGUGCGGGGUGCAGAGAUCUGGAGAGACUUGCGGGCUCCCCAGCGCAGGCUGCUCUGGGAUUUCGUUGGAAGAUCCGGCAGAGCCUUGGAGGAGAGGGCCCGGGAGGCUGUGUGUGCAGCGGAAACUUGUACGAAUGCCCCCACAGCGGAAAUGGUGCGCACGAGUAAUUUCUGCGGUGCACCCUUUUAAAAAUUGACAAGUGAACAAGAUCAAUUUUUUAAGAAAGCAAAGGUAGAAAACAAAAGGCGUGCGACUUCUUGACUGGCUUGUUCCCGCCUUUCUUCCUUCUCUAUACUCAGAUCAGAAACUUUUCUUUAAUUGCUCUUAUUCAGUGCGACAACUUUUAAUAAAAGCAUUUGCAUUUUAAGCCUGAGUUGCAACCAUAGAUUUAUUGCGAAGUGACAACGUGUCUAUGGAAUAUUUUCGCAGAUGAGACAGGACAUGCGCUCUAGUCGUGCCCAGAUUAAAGCGACGCUGGGCCAUGUGCCUGUGUAGUGCAGACUCGGAGGGGCACACACAUACUCGUCACCACAUGACCACUGUCUAUUAAUAUUGUCAUACCUAAACACUCGCAAAAACAAAAGUUGCUUUUCUUCCCUGUAAUUAAAUCUAAUUUG
This 1713-nucleotide long non-coding RNA is filed under the name Homo sapiens (human). RNAcentral describes it as "HSALNT0253722". Lineage: Eukaryota; Metazoa; Chordata; Mammalia; Primates; Hominidae. The record is from RNAcentral.